Molecule: ribosomal RNA, 465 nt
Filed under: uncultured Klebsiella sp.
Lineage: Bacteria; Pseudomonadati; Pseudomonadota; Gammaproteobacteria; Enterobacterales; Enterobacteriaceae
Description: bacterial SSU rRNA
Rfam family: Bacterial small subunit ribosomal RNA
Source: RNAcentral
CCUACGGGUGGCAGCAGUGGGGAAUAUUGCACAAUGGGCGCAAGCCUGAUGCAGCCAUGCCGCGUGUGUGAAGAAGGCCUUCGGGCUGUAAAGCACUUUCAGCGGGGAGGAAGGCGUUAAGGUUAAUAACCUUGGCGAUUGACGUUACCCGCAGAAGAAGCACCGGCUAACUCCGUGCCAGCAGCCGCGGUAAUACGGAGGGUGCAAGCGUUAAUCGGAAUUACUGGGCGUAAAGCGCACGCAGGCGGUCUGUCAAGUCGGAUGUGAAAUCCCCGGGCUCAACCUGGGAACUGCAUUCGAAACUGGCAGGCUAGAGUCUUGUAGAGGGGGGUAGAAUUCCAGGUGUAGCGGUGAAAUGCGUAGAGAUCUGGAGGAAUACCGGUGGCGAAGGCGGCCCCCUGGACAAAGACUGACGCUCAGGUGCGAAAGCGUGGGGAGCAAACAGGAUUAGAUACCCUAGUAGUC